RNAcentral lists this ribosomal RNA (372 nucleotides) under uncultured organism. RNAcentral describes it as "bacterial SSU rRNA". It matches the Rfam family "Bacterial small subunit ribosomal RNA", at positions 526 to 896 of the family's 1533-position model. The record is from RNAcentral.
CGUAGGUGGCAAGCGUUGUCCGGAAUUAUUGGGCGUAAAGCGCGCGCAGGCGGUCCUUUAAGUCUGAUGUGAAAGCCCACGGCUCAACCGUGGAGGGUCAUUGGAAACUGGGGGACUUGAGUACAGAAGAGAAGAGUGGAAUUCCACGUGUAGCGGUGAAAUGCGUAGAGAUGUGGAGGAACACCAGUGGCGAAGGCGACUCUUUGGUCUGUAACUGACGCUGAGGCGCGAAAGCGUGGGGAGCAAACAGGAUUAGAUACCCUGGUAGUCCACGCCGUAAACGAUGAGUGCUAGGUGUUAGAGGGUUUCCGCCCUUUAGUGCUGCAGCAAACGCAUUAAGCACUCCGCCUGGGGAGUACGGCCGCAAGGCUG